AAAAAGGUUCUUUUGGUCAAGAGAGCAGUGCAAAGAGAGCCAGAGACUGAAACCUGCAGCACUUGACCAAAAGCACAAACUCUGAAAAAAGAGCUCCGAAGGGUGGGUCUCAGUUUAUCUCCUAAGCAUCCUUACAUAAAAUGAGGAUGUAACUUAAAAGGAUGCUGGGAAUGUAGCUCAGGUGUUGCAAAUUUUCCAUCUGCACAGAACCCAUACUUAACAUUGAUUCUAAGACAGAAGGUAAGAGCUUUUAAAAGACCUAAGUUCAAAUUUUGUCUCACACUUCUCAGAUUUGCAAUUCCAGGCAAGUCACUAAGCAUCUCUCUGCCUUGACCAAGGGAUAUCAGAAAGGAUCCUUUACCUAGAAAUACCUCCUGUAACCAUCUAGUACAAUGCCUGAGAUCACACCGUAAAAACUUAUUUCUUUCAUGCUAAGAUCUUGUCCCUUUUUGAAAUGCAAAAAUUCAGAAAAGGAACCUAGAGCUUUAAAACCCAAAGUCGACCAUGUUUCCUAUUUUUUUGCACAACAGUUAGAUAGCAGAAUUAAACUAUGAGUCAGUAUCUUCCCAUUUCUGGGCCUCAGUUCCCCCAUCUGCCAAAUAUCACUGAAUGAUCUCAAAAAUCUCUCCCAGCUGUGAUGUUGUACGUUCUACUUGAAGGUUUUUCCUAAUUAUAUGUCCUAUGGUUUAAUGUUCCUCCAAGCUUUGAUGUUCUAUGUUCUCAUAUUUCCUCCACAGCCCCCAUUGUAUGACUUGCUAAAAGUCACCCAAUGGGUCAGUGGCAGGCUAGAAUCCAGAUCACUUGACUCCCAGGCCAGCGUGUUCUCAGAGGGGAGUGAGAGUGUCUCCUCAUUCUCCCAAACAUGGUUUUCCAUCUAUGUGUUGGGUCCUGACUCCUGAGGUCAGGGGUUACCCUGACUGUAUCUGUCUUACAAUUCCUUGGUUUUCCCUUGAAGAACAGGUGAAGCAUUUUAACAAGAGCACCAGAAUCUGUUGCAUUACCAGGAGGUCCCAGAGUGACUCCAGAAAGGGAAAAGAGAGUGAAGAGCUUAUUCCAGAGAGACCAGGGCAAGUCCACCAGGGAACCAGAAUCUCACAAACAGAGUCCUUGGUGAGUCAGGUACAGGAGUCCACCUGAUGUCCUCAGAUGUCCCAGCAAGGUAGAGAUCUUUUCCCAGUCAGGCUGUCCACCAGGAAGACUGGAGAUAUUCUCUCACCGCAGCCAGUUGUUGGAUGCAUGGAUUCCAGGAUGUCUCAGCCACCCACCUUUCUCCUUCACCUGGCAGCUCCAGAGUUGGUAAUCAGUUCCUAGGAGUUCUGACUCAAUCAAGCUCAGGCAGAUUCUGAGUCUCAUGUCCUGUCAAUCAUUCUCUUGCAAUCUUUACCUCCCAUUGCUCCACCUGGAAAGAGGAAUCAAUCGAUAUUAAAUGCCUACUGUGUGCCAGGCAGACAUGAAGGGCAUCUUUUGCUCAGAAACAAACCCAUUUGACUGGAUCUCCCUCUCCUUUGGCGUCUGAGGAGGUACCUACAUCCCAGUCCCCUUCUCUUUCUCUGCCAUAUGUGAAAGACACUCCAUUCUGAGGAAAGCUGAGGCUUCCACUCCCCCCUACAGAACCUAGGAAAUACCGACAAUGCUGGGCCACCAGAUGGAGCUCAGAAACCUAGAAUGGAGUCAACAGGCAAGCCACUGGAGGCUGGAAGGGACCAGGAGGAAAAUUUCUGUUAGAAAUGGGGGGGGGGGUCCCAAAAUGGGCUAGGCUGCCUCCUCAUUGGCCUCCCCCCAUGCCUGAAAUGUGUUCCCUCUUUAGCUCAGCCUCAUAGAAUCCACCUCUGUUCUUUUAAGACAAGCUCGGACUCAUCUUCUCCAUGAAGCUUUUCCAGAUUCUUCCAACUGCUAGUACUCUCUCUCUCAAAUGGAUACACUACGAUGUGUGCGAACUUUGUGUA
Monodelphis domestica (gray short-tailed opossum) is the source of this 1946-nucleotide long non-coding RNA. Lineage: Eukaryota; Metazoa; Chordata; Mammalia; Didelphimorphia; Didelphidae. The record is from Ensembl.